GACUGCGGAGGGUCAUUA
Molecule: ribosomal RNA, 18 nt
Filed under: Colletotrichum menispermi
Lineage: Eukaryota; Fungi; Ascomycota; Sordariomycetes; Glomerellales; Glomerellaceae
Description: partial 18S ribosomal RNA
Source: RNAcentral